UACAGAGGUGGCAAGCGUUGUUCGGAAUUACUGGGCGUAAAGGGCGCGUAGGCGGUCUUCUAAGUCUUGUGUGAAAUCCCUCGGCUCAACUGAGGAACUGCACGGGAUACUGGAAGACUUGAGUUCGGGAGAGGGAAGCGGAAUUCCGGGUGUAGCGGUGAAAUGCGUAGAGAUCCGGAGGAACACCAGUGGCGAAGGCGACACGCUGGGCCAUACCUGACGCUAAAGCGCGACAGCAUGGGGAGCAAACGGG
Molecule: ribosomal RNA, 253 nt
Filed under: uncultured bacterium
Lineage: Bacteria
Description: partial 16S ribosomal RNA
Rfam family: Bacterial small subunit ribosomal RNA
Source: RNAcentral